Nycticebus coucang (slow loris) is the source of this 1466-nucleotide RNA transcript. It is a transcript of the gene named heterogeneous nuclear ribonucleoprotein H2-like, with no coding region annotated. The record is from RefSeq and is a predicted model, not a curated record. Lineage: Eukaryota; Metazoa; Chordata; Mammalia; Primates; Lorisidae. The transcript is spliced from 2 exons.
CGUCGUCUAUCAUCUCUCUACAGCCGUUUGAGGGAAGGAGGAGGAAAAUUACCCGGUAUCGAUAGAGCCACACCACAAUCCUAUUAAGCCAAUCUUGCCAUCAGGAACCCAACAUUCACCAUGAUGCUGAGCACAGAAGGCAGGGAGGGUUUCGUGGUGAAGGUCAGGGGCCUACCCUGGUCCUGCUCAGCUGAUGAAGUGAUGCACUUCUUCUCUGAUUGCAAAAUCCAAAAUGGCACAUCAGGUAUUCGUUUCAUCUACACCAGAGAAGGAAGACCAAGUGGUGAAGCAUUUGUUGAACUUGAAUCCGAAGAUGAAGUGAAAUUGGCUUUGAAGAAGGACAGAGAAACCAUGGGACACAGAUAUGUUGAAGUAUUCAAGUCCAACAGUGUUGAAAUGGAUUGGGUGUUGAAGCAUACAUGUCCAAAUAGUCCUGAUACUGCCAAUGAUGGCUUCGUCUGGCUUAGAGGACUCCCAUUUGGCUGUAGCAAGGAAGAGAUUGUUCAGUUCUUUUCAGGGUUGGAAAUUGUGCCAAAUGGGAUGACACUGCCAGUGGACUUUCAGGGGCGAAGCACAGGGGAGGCUUUUGUGCAAUUUGCUUCGCAGGAGAUAGCUGAGAAGGCCUUAAAGAAACACAAGGAAAGAAUAGGGCACAGGUACAUUGAAAUCUUUAAGAGUAGCCGAGCUGAAGUUCGAACCCCCUAUGAUCCCCCUCGAAAGCUCAUGGCUAUGCAGCGGCCAGGUCCCUAUGAUAGGCCAGGGGCUGGCAGAGGGUAUAAUAGCAAUGGUAGAGGAGCUGGGUUUGAAAGGAUGAGGCGGGGUGCCUAUGGUGGAGGGUAUGGAGGCUACGAUGACUAUGGUGGUUAUAAUGAUGGAUAUGGCUUUGGGUCUGAUAGAGACCUCAAUUGGAAGAGACCUCAAUUACUGUUUUUCAGGAAUGUCUGAUCAUAGAUACGGAGAUGGUGGGUCCAGUUUCCAAAGCACCACAGGGCACUGUGUACACAUGAGGGGGUUACCUUACCGAGCCACUAAGAAUGAUAUUUAUAAUUUCUUCUCACCUCUUAACCCCAUGAGAGUACACAUUGAAAUUGGACCUGAUGGCAGGGCAGAUGAGGCAGAUGUUGAAUUUGCUACUCAUGAAGAUGCCGUGGCAGCUAUGGCAAAAGACAAAGCUAAUAUGCAACACAGCUAUGUAGAACUCUUUUUGAAUUCUACAGCAGGGGCAAGUGGUGGUGCUUAUGGUAGUCAAAUGAUGGGAGGGAUGGGCUUAUCCAACCAGUCUAGUUAUGGGGGUCCUGCCAGCCAGCAGCUGAGUGGUGGUUAUGGUGGUCAGAGCAGUAUGAGUGGGUAUGACCAAGUUCUGCAGGAAAACUCCAGUGACUAUCAGUCAAAUCUUGCUUAGGUUGAUAAGGAGCACUAAACAGCUACUACAGAAAUAAAAGCUGUGCAUUUAUGGGAGUUGAAUA